UUGCUUCUCUUGAGAGCGGCGGACGGGUGAGUAAUGCCUAGGAAUCUGCCUGGUAGUGGGGGAUAACGUCCGGAAACGGACGCUAAUACCGCAUACGUCCUACGGGAGAAAGCAGGGGACCUUCGGGCCUUGCGCUAUCAGAUGAGCCUAGGUCGGAUUAGCUAGUUGGUGGGGUAAUGGCUCACCAAGGCGACGAUCCGUAACUGGUCUGAGAGGAUGAUCAGUCACACUGGAACUGAGACACGGUCCAGACUCCUACGGGAGGCAGCAGUGGGGAAUAUUGGACAAUGGGCGAAAGCCUGAUCCAGCCAUGCCGCGUGUGUGAAGAAGGUCUUCGGAUUGUAAAGCACUUUAAGUUGGGAGGAAGGGCAGUAAAUUAAUACUUUGCUGUUUUGACGUUACCGACAGAAUAAGCACCGGCUAACUCUGUGCCAGCAGCCGCGGUAAUACAGAGGGUGCAAGCGUUAAUCGGAAUUACUGGGCGUAAAGCGCGCGUAGGUGGUUCGUUAAGUUGGAUGUGAAAUCCCCGGGCUCAACCUGGGAACUGCAUUCAAAACUGACGAGCUAGAGUAUGGUAGAGGGUGGUGGAAUUUCCCUGUGUAGCGGUGAAAUGCGUAGAUAUAGGAAGGAACACCAGUGGCGAAGGCGACCACCUG
RNAcentral lists this ribosomal RNA (656 nucleotides) under uncultured bacterium. Its description in RNAcentral is "bacterial SSU rRNA". It matches the Rfam family "Bacterial small subunit ribosomal RNA", at positions 80 to 731 of the family's 1533-position model. The record is from RNAcentral.